CACCAUUUUGGUGCAAAAUGGUGCAAAGUGAAUAGUGUUGCACCAAAUAUGGUGCAACACUAUUCACUUUGCACCAUUUUGCACCAAAAUGGUG
This 94-nucleotide microRNA precursor is filed under the name Olea europaea subsp. europaea. Lineage: Eukaryota; Viridiplantae; Streptophyta; Magnoliopsida; Lamiales; Oleaceae. The record is from RNAcentral.